Molecule: ribosomal RNA, 269 nt
Filed under: uncultured Anaplasma sp.
Lineage: Bacteria; Pseudomonadati; Pseudomonadota; Alphaproteobacteria; Rickettsiales; Anaplasmataceae
Description: partial 16S ribosomal RNA
Rfam family: Bacterial small subunit ribosomal RNA
Source: RNAcentral
AUCCCUGCGGGGGAAAGAUUUAUCGCUAUUAGAUGAGCCUAUGUUAGAUUAGCUAGUUGGUAGGGUAAAGGCCUACCAAGGCGAUGAUCUAUAGCUGGUCUGAGAGGAUGAUCAGCCACACUGGAACUGAGAUACGGUCCAGACUCCUACGGGAGGCAGCAGUGGGGAAUAUUGGACAAUGGGCGCAAGCCUGAUCCAGCUAUGCCGCGUGAGUGAGGAAGGCCUUAGGGUUGUAAAACUCUUUCAGUAGGGAAGAUAAUGACGGUACA